This 66-nucleotide transfer RNA is filed under the name Validiblatta brunnea (brown cockroach). RNAcentral describes it as "tRNA-Pro". Lineage: Eukaryota; Metazoa; Arthropoda; Insecta; Blattodea; Blattidae. The record is from RNAcentral.
CAGAGAAUAGUUUAUUUAAAAUGUUAAUUUUGGGGAUUAAUGAAAAGGUUUAAACCUUUUCUCUGA